GGUUUACAGGUGGUGCAUGGUUGUCGUCAGCUCGUGUCGUGAGAUGUUGGGUUAAGUCCCGCAACGAGCGCAACCCUCGUUCUAUGUUGCCAGCACGUGAUGGUGGGGACUCAUAGGAGACUGCCGGGGUCAACUCGGAGGAAGGUGGGGACGACGUCAAAUCAUCAUGCCCCUUAUGUCUUGGGCUUCACGCAUGCUACAAUGGCCGGUACAAAGGGUUGCGAUACUGUGAGGUGGAGCUAAUCCCAAAAAGCCGGUCUCAGUUCGGAUUGGGGUCUGCAACUCGACCCCAUGAAGUCGGAGUCGCUAGUAAUCGCAGAUCAGCAACGCUGCGGUGAAUACGUUCCCGGGCCUUGUACACACCGCCCGUCAAGUCACGAAAGUUGGUAACACCCGAAGCCGGUGGCCUAACCCCUUGUGGGAGGGAGCUGUCGAAGGUGGGACUGGCGAUUGGGACUA
Molecule: ribosomal RNA, 459 nt
Filed under: Arthrobacter sp. T213BW3
Lineage: Bacteria; Bacillati; Actinomycetota; Actinomycetes; Micrococcales; Micrococcaceae
Description: SSU rRNA
Rfam family: Bacterial small subunit ribosomal RNA
Source: RNAcentral